GGUGUUUUUGCAGUUCAUUCACACUCUGUGUCUGCUUUGGUUUCAGACCCACAUGGCUCCCCGACAGAAGACAAUGACAUGAUAGGAGUGGUGACACAAGGCUCUUACUGUUACAUUCAAUAAUUGAUUCUCCUGGAUGGAUUGUGACUCCCUAAAGGUUGCAAAGAGAGAAAGAGUUGAAUUUGCUACUUACCAAGAGAAGAAAAACAACACAAGAGUUUGGUGAAUGGGCAUGCUUUGGAUUCACACUGGAUCCUGGAAACAGAAUUGUCCCCUGUGGAUGUAGAAGUAUCAUGGUAACUCUCCUCAGGAACUCCAUAAUGAAGGAGGUUAUCAUCCAGGAGUUAUACCCUGCUUGUUUUUAAACCUGCAAAGGGAAGAUACUGUGAACAAAGCAGUGAUGGCUCUCAGGUUCCUCGCCAGGCACCAGGAGAGGAGUGGGGCUGUUUUGGAUCACCUGAGCACAGGGCUGGAUGCAAGUGGGUGCUCAACAUCUGAAAGGGAUGGCGAAAUAAAUUACACAGAUCCCUGUGCAAGUCUGAUCAAGCUCUGAAAGGUGAGGUAAACGAUCUUCACUGAGGAAACAGAGAUUUGCCCUGCAUAGUGAAUUGCCACAGAAAGGCUCCUGCAGCAGCCAGAGACUGAUGGCACAUUCUGCCCUGUCCUCCAGGAUGAUCUGACAGAGGUAUUUGUGUUCCAGUAUGAUUUGACAGAGAUAUUUGUGUGAACAGGUGGGGAAUAAUCCUGCACCAGGAGCUGUCUCAGGGACUGAAGUAUCUCAGAGUAGCUCUGCCCUGGGUCUCUGCUGGGAAAGCAAGGUUGGGCAGCUGAACAAUCUGGACUCACA
RNAcentral lists this long non-coding RNA (847 nucleotides) under Zonotrichia albicollis (white-throated sparrow). RNAcentral's name for it is "lncRNA (ENSZALG00000013366.1)". Lineage: Eukaryota; Metazoa; Chordata; Aves; Passeriformes; Passerellidae. The record is from RNAcentral.